GACGAACGCUGGCGGCGUGCUUAACACAUGCAAGUCGAACGAAGAGCGAUGGAAGCUUGCUUCUAUCAAUCUUAGUGGCGAACGGGUGAGUAACGCGUAAUCAACCUGCCCUUCAGAGGGGGACAACAGUUGGAAACGACUGCUAAUACCGCAUACGAUCUAAUCUCGGCAUCGAGGAUAGAUGAAAGGUGGCCUCUACAUGUAAGCUAUCACUGAAGGAGGGGAUUGCGUCUGAUUAGCUAGUUGGAGGGGUAACGGCCCACCAAGGCGAUGAUCAGUAGACGGUCUGAGAGGAUGAACGGCCACAUUGGGACUGAGACACGGCCCAGACUCCUACGGGAGGCAGCAGUGGGGAAUCUUCCGCAAUGGACGAAAGUCUGACGGAGCAACGCCGCGUGAGUGAUGACGGCCUUCGGGUUGUAAAGCUCUGUUAAUCGGGACGAAAGGCCUUCUUGCGAACAGUUAGAAGGAUUGACGGUACCGGAAGAGAAAGCCACGGCUAACUACGUG
RNAcentral lists this ribosomal RNA (510 nucleotides) under uncultured bacterium. Its description in RNAcentral is "partial 16S ribosomal RNA". It matches the Rfam family "Bacterial small subunit ribosomal RNA", at positions 28 to 507 of the family's 1533-position model. The record is from RNAcentral.